UUCAAACUCAGACCUUCACUCCUAAUACUCCUCUGAAGUUGGCUUUGCUAAUCAGAAACGAAGACUUGAAGUUAUAAAUAUCCUAAAUUUGUGCAGUUCUUCCUCAAACAUAAGCAGCGCCCUGCUAUGAAUAUGGAGUCCCAGCUCGUCCUUUCAACGCAUGGAAUCAUAUUUUCACCUAAUUUCCAGAUCUUGGAAGGAUUAGGAG
This is a long non-coding RNA of Cucumis melo (muskmelon), 208 nucleotides long. RefSeq lists it as uncharacterized. Lineage: Eukaryota; Viridiplantae; Streptophyta; Magnoliopsida; Cucurbitales; Cucurbitaceae. The transcript has 2 exons. The record is from RefSeq and is a predicted model, not a curated record.